This 429-nucleotide ribosomal RNA is filed under the name Chloroflexota bacterium. Its description in RNAcentral is "Chloroflexi bacterium partial 16S ribosomal RNA". It matches the Rfam family "Bacterial small subunit ribosomal RNA", at positions 355 to 776 of the family's 1533-position model. The record is from RNAcentral. Lineage: Bacteria; Bacillati; Chloroflexota.
UGGGGAAUAUUGCACAAUGGGCGCAAGCCUGGUGCAGCCAUGCCGCGUGUGUGAAGAAGGCCUUCGGGUUGUAAAGCACUUUCAGCGGGGAGGAAGGCGAUAAGGUUAAUAACCUUGUCGAUUGACGUUACCCGCAGAAGAAGCACCGGCUAACUCCGUGCCAGCAGCCGCGGUAAUACGGAGGGUGCAAGCGUUAAUCGGAAUUACUGGGCGUAAAGCGCACGCAGGCGGUCUGUCAAGUCGGAUGUGAAAUCCCCGGGCUCAACCUGGGAACUGCAUUCGAAACUGGCAGGCUAGAGUCUUGUAGAGGGGGGUAGAAUUCCAGGUGUAGCGGUGAAAUGCGUAGAGAUCUGGAGGAAUACCGGUGGCGAAGGCGGCCCCCUGGACAAAGACUGACGCUCAGGUGCGAAAGCGUGGGGAGCAAACAGG